UACGAAGGGGGCUAGCGUUGCUCGGAAUCACUGGGCGUAAAGGGUGCGUAGGCGGGUCUUUAAGUCAGGGGUGAAAUCCUGGAGCUCAACUCCAGAACUGCCUUUGAUACUGAGGAUCUUGAGUUCGGGAGAGGUGAGUGGAACUGCGAGUGUAGAGGUGAAAUUCGUAGAUAUUCGCAAGAACACCAGUGGCGAAGGCGGCUCACUGGCCCGAUACUGACACUGAAUAGCGAAAGCCAGGGGAGCAAACGGG
Molecule: ribosomal RNA, 253 nt
Filed under: uncultured bacterium
Lineage: Bacteria
Description: partial 16S ribosomal RNA
Rfam family: Bacterial small subunit ribosomal RNA
Source: RNAcentral